Molecule: long non-coding RNA, 388 nt
Filed under: Felis catus (domestic cat)
Lineage: Eukaryota; Metazoa; Chordata; Mammalia; Carnivora; Felidae
Description: lncRNA (ENSFCAG00000046187.2)
Source: RNAcentral
UUCAGAACAGGAGUGCAUUCAGAAGCAUCCUCCGGCGAGGCUGGGAAGCUGCUCACAUCCCCGGAAAAUUCAGUGGGAGAAAAAGUUUAUGGAAGCGAGUAGGAGUUUAUUCAACAGUGUCUGAGCCCUUUCAGAACCAUGAGUUCACAAGGGCACGAAGUGCAGUAUAUAAAAAGAGGAUAAUGACUUGACUUGAGUGCAGGAAAAGGCCCAAUGAACAGAGCAGCCAAGCUUGCCCGGACGAGAAUAGAUGAAAGUUUGGAGAAGAGUCAAGAAGAAAUGGCAUUGUCUGCAUGCAAACAUAUACUGAAACCAUCUCCCUGCCAAGCUCUGUGCUAAACACUGGGAAUAUAAUGCAUAUGAAAUCAGAAGUUAUCCUAUCGACUAG